This 308-nucleotide unclassified non-coding RNA is filed under the name Hevea brasiliensis (rubber tree). The record is from RNAcentral. Lineage: Eukaryota; Viridiplantae; Streptophyta; Magnoliopsida; Malpighiales; Euphorbiaceae.
AUAGUACCAUAACCUUCCGCCCCUUUAUUUAUUUCAACAUCUUUGUCACAGUAGUGGGAGAGUAGAGUAGCUUAAGUAGUUCCGACCGACAAAGAGGAGAAGAAAAAUGGAGGAAGAACAAGAGUAUCUUUUCAAGAUUGUGGUGAUUGGGGACUCUGCCGUUGGCAAAUCCAACUUGCUGUCCCGUUUUGCCCGUGAUGAAUUUGACCAUAACUCUAAGGCCACCAUUGGAGUUGAGUUUCAAACACAAGUUGUUGAAGUUGAUGGUAAGGAAAUUAAGGCCCAGGUUUGGGAUACUGCUGGUCAAG